Long non-coding RNA from Amphiprion ocellaris (clown anemonefish), 2177 nucleotides. RefSeq lists it as uncharacterized. The transcript is spliced from 3 exons. Lineage: Eukaryota; Metazoa; Chordata; Actinopteri; Pomacentridae. The record is from RefSeq and is a predicted model, not a curated record.
AUUGAGGAUGCAUCAGAUCAGACCAUAGAUUGUAUGGACCAGACUUAUAUUGACUUGGGGCAGCCAAAAAACCCAUAAUGCAUUUCGCAGCAAACUUGGUGACAAUGGCAGAAGAGAGAACACACAACUGCGCAGUGAGCGAGAGACAGGAGAAGAGUUGGGGGAAGACAUGCAGCAAAGGGCCGCGUGCGGGAAUCGAACCCGGGUCGCUGCGUCGAUGACUUUUCAUAGGUAAGAAUAGUUUUUGGCUCUUUUUUCAUUAUUAAAUCUUGUUGAGAGCUUCCAGUCUAUGGGAGCUAACUAGUUAUCCACUAGCAAAACGCUAAGGCGAGCUAGCAGCUUGACAAGCAAAUACCAGACGAUUAGUAGUAGCUGUAGUAGUCAGUCCUGUCUCAGAGUGAUGCAGAAAAGCUAGUCCAUGCAUUUGUUACUUCUAGGCUUGACUACUGUAAUUCCUUAUUAUCAGGUUGUCCCAAUAGCUCUCUAAAUUAUCUACAGCUGAUCCAAAAUGCUGCAGCCAGAGUACUGACGGGAGUUAGCAAGAGAGAUCAUAUUUCUCCUAUACUGGUUUCUCUUCAUUGGCUUCCUGUUAAAUGUAGAAUAGAAUUCAAAAUCCUUCUUCUGACAUAUAAAGCUCUUAAAAACCAAUCUCCAUCAUAUCUUAAAGACCUGAUAGUACCAUAUUAUCCUAGCAGAACUCUUCGCUCUCAGACUGCAGGCUUACUUGUUGUUCCUAGAAUCUCUAAAAGUAGAAUGGGAGGCAGAGCCUUCAGUUAUCAGGUGCCUCUCCUGUGGAACCAGCUCCCAGUUUGGGUUCAGGAGGUGGACACCCUCUCUAUUUUUAAGACCAGGCUUAAAACCUUCCUUUUUGACAAAGCUUAUAGUUAGGGCUGACCGGGGGACCCUGACAGGGUGAGCUGAUGUUUCCAUUUGCACAACUGACUUCCCCUCUUGACGUCCCUUUAGUUUGCCCCUAGUUAUGCUGCUAUAGGCCUAGGCUGCUGGGGGACCUCUCUUGAUGCACUGAGCCCUUCUCUAACUACCUAUGUAUUUACUACAUAUACCAUUAUUGCAUUACACUCAUUCUGUUUCUUUCUGUGUCCUUUCUCCGAGUGUCCCUGGUCCCAGAGCUGGAUGCUUCAGAUCUGUGGUUGUUCUCCCACCUCCAGCUGCCCAUUUCCACCGAUCUACUCUGCAUUGCCCUUACUAUACUUGAUUUGCUCAUCUACAGACAAUUCUUUAGGACUGCUCUCAAAUAAUUGAAAUGUUACUAAACAAGGCUAUACUUACCAAAUUAAUAGCUCUGGUCUCCAGUAUAUUGGCUAAUUUGGUUCUUUGUACUUAAUUUAUUAGCAUGAUUUCUUUUUAAAUAUGUUGUGUACACACUUACUUACUACUUUGUGUACUUUUCCUACUCCAUGUAGAUUUCACAGAGACUAUGGGCUGAGGAGGAAGUGGGAAGCAGCUCUGAGGAGAGAGGAGUUUGCUGCAAAUGAGUGGGUGCUCUGCAGUGAUCAUUUUAAACCUGAUGAGUUUGACAGGGCUGAGCAGGUUUAUCAGCUUAGACCUGGUGUCAUUCCAUCAGUGUUUAACUUCCUGGCUCAUCUUGGAAGAGUACGUGCCAGAAACACCAUGACCAAGCAGCCUUGAGAUCUUAGGCAGCGGCACCCUCAGGUCCCUCUCUAUCUCCCCACACAUCCACCAACCACUGGAACACAUCUCCAAAGUUCUGCUGGGCCAGCUCAGCUUCCCCUCAGAAGAAGUGCCGCCACCUGCCAGAUGAAGGAACCCUUUGAGAGGCAGCUGGCAUCGUGAUUGGACUGUACUUUGGUCUGUUCCAAUCCAGCUUCAGCUCCAGAGACGGCAGGUGGGACGAGUCAACGGAGGCCGGGUGGACGAAGGCAUGCAGCUGAGUACAAUCCAGAAAACAACAGAGGAGGAGUGCAGUGGCCCAGAGCCAGAACAAACAGAGUAGCAUGGUAUGUCUCUUAGAAAACAUCAUAGUAUAGCCUUUGGUAUGAAAAAACGCCAUCAUAUACAUCGUAUAUUGUACAAAUAACAAGUCAAAGGAAAGAGACAUACAUUGUAGAAUUGUAGUAAUUCUGGGCUGACUGAUUUACUGAUUAUCAGUAUUUUGUUUUUUACCGAUUUACGGUAAUAAAUCAAUUUAAAAAUGG